GAUGGGUUUAAGAGCUCCUUGUUCCUUCUGCCUUUUUACACUUCGUUCAUUUUUAUUUUUAUACACCUAUAUCCGGGUGUCUGAUAGUCUUAAAUAUUUACUAACUCCAGUGGAGGGGCCCCUCACUGGAGUUUUAUUUAACCUGUUUGGGAUAAAAAAAAUAAAUUAUAUAUGGGUUUAUGUAUUUGAUGUCAUAUUAUUGUGAUUUUGUGGCUAUGUCUAUUGAUGCAUUUGCUUAGAAGGCUACUGAGCGAU
Non-coding RNA from Pelobates cultripes (western spadefoot toad), 255 nucleotides. NCBI's taxonomy places the organism in Eukaryota, Metazoa, Chordata, Amphibia, Anura, Pelobatidae. The record is from the annotation of a GenBank genome assembly.